AAGAUUCUGUGCUAAUGACCUGUGGGAUCUGAGUCAAGGAUGAUGAAUAAUACUUCUUUGCAUAUCUGAGGUCCAC
Small nucleolar RNA from Capra hircus (goat), 76 nucleotides. NCBI's taxonomy places the organism in Eukaryota, Metazoa, Chordata, Mammalia, Artiodactyla, Bovidae. The record is from Ensembl.